Molecule: ribosomal RNA, 581 nt
Filed under: uncultured bacterium
Lineage: Bacteria
Description: bacterial SSU rRNA
Rfam family: Bacterial small subunit ribosomal RNA
Source: RNAcentral
ACGGGUGAGUAAUGUCUGGGGAUCUGCCCGAUAGAGGGGGAUAACCACUGGAAACGGUGGCUAAUACCGCAUAACGUCGCAAGACCAAAGAGGGGGACCUUCGGGCCUCUCACUAUCGGAUGAACCCAGAUGGGAUUAGCUAGUAGGCGGGGUAACGGCCCACCUAGGCGACGAUCCCUAGCUGGUCUGAGAGGAUGACCAGCCACACUGGAACGGAGACACGGUCCAGACUCCUACGGGAGGCAGCAGUGGGGAAUAUUGCACAAUGGGCGCAAGCCUGAUGCAGCCAUGCCGCGUGUAUGAAGAAGGCCUUCGGGUUGUAAAGUACUUUCAGCGGGGAGGAAGGCAGUGAGGUUAAUAACCUUACUGAUUGACGUUACCCGCAGAAGAAGCACCGGCUAACUCCGUGCCAGCAGCCGCGGUAAUACGGAGGGUGCAAGCGUUAAUCGGAAUUACUGGGCGUAAAGCGCACGCAGGCGGUCUGUUAAGUCAGAUGUGAAAUCCCCGGGCUUAACCUGGGAACUGCAUUUGAAACUGGCAGGCUUGAGUCUCGUAGAGGGGGGUAGAAUUCCAGGUGUAGC